UACAGAGGGUGCGAGCGUUAAUCGGAAUUACUGGGCGUAAAGCGUGCGUAGACGGUAGCGUAAGUCAGAUGUGAAAGCCCCCGGGCUCAACCUGGGAAUUGCAUUUUGAGACUGCUCUGCUCGGGGUGCGGAAGAGGGAAGCGGAAUUUCCGGUGUAGCGGUGAAAUGCGCAGAUAUCAGGAAGAACACCAAUGGCGAAAAGCAGCUUUCUGGGACGGUACUGACGCUGAGACGCGAAAGCGUGGGGAGCGAACAGG
Molecule: ribosomal RNA, 257 nt
Filed under: uncultured bacterium
Lineage: Bacteria
Description: partial 16S ribosomal RNA
Rfam family: Bacterial small subunit ribosomal RNA
Source: RNAcentral